AAGUCGUAACAAGGUUUCCGUAGGUGAACCUGCGGAAGGAUCAUUAUUGAAUAAACCUGAUGUGGUUGUAGCUGGCUUUUCGAAGCAUGUGCUCACCCGUCAUCUUUAUCUCUCCACCUGUGCACCUUUUGUAGUCUUGGAUACCUCUCGAGGAAACUCGGAUUUGGGAUCGCUGUGCUGUACAAGUCGGCUUUCCUUGCAUUUCCAAGACUAUGUUUUUAUAUACACCAAAGAAUGUUUAAAGAAUGUCAUCAAUGGGAACUUGUUUCCUAUAAAAACUAUACAACUUUCAGCAACGGAUCUCUUGGCUCUC
RNAcentral lists this unclassified non-coding RNA (313 nucleotides) under air metagenome. Its description in RNAcentral is "partial contains small subunit ribosomal RNA, internal transcribed spacer 1, and 5.8S ribosomal RNA". The stretch from base 1 to 46 matches the Rfam family "Eukaryotic small subunit ribosomal RNA", at positions 1786 to 1831 of the family's 1831-position model. The record is from RNAcentral.